Molecule: RNA transcript, 3216 nt
Organism: Sorex araneus (European shrew)
Lineage: Eukaryota; Metazoa; Chordata; Mammalia; Eulipotyphla; Soricidae
Gene: RBM3
Gene name: RNA binding motif protein 3
Exons: 7
Source: RefSeq, a predicted model, not a curated record
UUAUCAAGCGCCUUCCCGCGCGCCGGCCUCCCCACUCUUUCAGCUUCCUGGCGGCUCCGGUCCGUGCGGCUUUUCCUCUUCGUCUCCAGGUAAGCCGCGAUGUCCAACAGCACGAGCCCCUCCUCGCCUCACUGAUGUGCGCCGCGAAGGCGGAACAGCGAGGCUCCCAAGUAGCGGCUUCUGACUCGUAGGCUUGGGCUUCUCUGAGGCGGGCCAGUCGCAAACUCGGAGGCGAAGCAUUUCGUUUGGGGGAAGGCUGGUGCUCUCUAUCCGACUGCGAGGACUGCCGGGAGGGGCUGGCGGCGUCGGUGGCGACAUUGACCACGCGACAGCCGAGACCGAAGGGAGCCCCCCCCCCGCGUUCUUCCCCCCCUUCCCCACGUGACCGCCGCCAUCUUGUUCUGCGGGCGCCGAGGAAACGCAAAGGUUUUCUGGGCCUGCGCAACGGUAGAAAAUGACGGGCGUGGUGGCGGUAGUAGUAGUGGAUGUUGUGAGCAUGCGCAGAAGCGCCCCCCAUGGCUGCCGCGCGGAGCCGGCCCCGCAGACGCGUCUUUUUUGCCUGCUUGCUCAGCCUCCUUCUUUAAGUUUCAGUGCCUCGUGUCUGUUUGCCGCCCGCUUCUCCUUGCCUUUUUUUGUUGUCGUUGCUUUCUUUUUUGUGGGCCUUCGCUUAGUCCCCCCUCUCCUGCCGCCUGGUCCCCCCCCCUCAUUCUCACUCUUCCCCCAGGACUCUUACGUCGCCGGCAUGUCUUCUGAAGACGGAAAGCUCUUCGUGGGAGGGCUCAACUUCAACACCGAUGAGCAAGCGCUGGAAGACCACUUCAGCAGCUUCGGACCCAUCUCUGAGGUGGUCGUGGUCAAGGACCGGGAGACUCAGCGUUCCCGGGGUUUUGGCUUCAUCACCUUCACCAAUCCAGAGCAUGCCUCUGAUGCCAUGCGCGCCAUGAAUGGAGAGUCUUUGGAUGGCCGCCAGAUUCGUGUGGACCACGCAGGCAAGUCUGCCCGGGGAACCCGAGGGGGUGCCUUUGGGGCCCAUGGGCGUGGUCGCAGCUACUCCAGAGGUGGUGGGGACCAGGGCUAUGGGAGUGGCAGGUAUGACAGUCGUCCUGGAGGAUAUGGCUACGGAUAUGGAAGGUCCCGAGACUAUGGAGGCAGAAGCCAGGGUGGUUAUGACCGCUACUCAGGAGGAAAUUACAGAGAUAAUUACGACAACUGAGAUGAGGCAUGCACACCUAAUGUAGGUGGAUGGAGACUCAGGAACUCAGACCUCCUACUUGGCCCUCUGAGCCAGGCCCAGGUAAAGGGGCAUGAUAGCUACAACUUGGAUUCUUGGUCAGACAGCUCGCUUUUUUUUCUUUUUGGGCCACACCCGGUGAUGCACUCAGGAAUUACCCCUGGUGGUGCUUGGGAGACCAUAUGGGAUGCUGGGAAUCAAACCCAGAUCAGGCGCAUCCAAGGCAAAUGCCCUACCCGAUGUGCUAUCACUCCAGCCCCAGGAGGCUUUCUAUGCUGAACUCAGUGGAGCCAGCUAAGCAGUGGGAGCUGGCAGAACUACUAUGGUGGUCAGGGAGGUACCUGCACACCUUGUCUAAGAAGUAAAGUGGCAGCUUCAGCUGGGAUAUGACAGCAAGAUCACGUGGCCUUCCAUGUGUGAAACCCUGGGUUUGGUCACUGGCACCAACAAAGGAAACCAAACCAAUGUCCCCCUAAUUAAAUGAGAUAGUACAGGUCUUAGGCUUAAUCUUGCAUCCAUUCACCAUUGGUGGGAUCUCCUGUGCACCUACCAGCACUGCUGGUGUGGCUUGCUCCCCAGUGAAAACCCGGAAACUCUUGGCCUUGUAAUACAAAUUAGAUUUAAUAAAAUGAACAUGAGGGCAGUGGUGCAUGCAGUCUUUUGAGCAUUUUGAAGGUGUCAGUGUAUGUCAAAACUAAACACUCGUAUCCUUGUUACCUAAACCACUGAACUUUUGGCUUUUGGGCUGCAUCCAUCAGUAAUUAGGGCUCAGUCCUGGCCCUCCACUGAGGGAUCACUCCUGGCAUGGCUCAGGAGACCAUAUGGGGUGCAGAGGAUUGAAUCUGGGUAGACUACAUGCAAGACGUGCUAUCUCUCCAACCCUAAUAAAUCUUUUUUCUGUUUUUUGGGUUAUGCCAGUGCUACUUGGAGUUUACUCCUGGUUUCAUGCUCAGGAUCACUUCUGGCAGACUCGGGGUCCAUAUGGGGCGCUGGGGAUUGAACCCAAGUUGGCCACAUGCAAAGCAAACAGCCUACCUGCUGCGCUAUCACCCAUCCCCCUCCGCCCAACAAAGUUUUAAAGGAAAAACAAGAGCUUUGGGUUUGGAAAAUAACCCUGCAGACUUGAAAGUAUUCUGCCUGUGGGAGGCCCUGUACCUCUUGGGUCUCCCAAUACUGGUAGCAUACGCUGUCAGAUGUUACCCCCCCAAAAAAAGUCCCUCAUCUCCAAAGUGAACUGAGAUAGGAGAUUAUAAUCAACCACGAUAUUCUGCAACAAAAUUAAUCCCCUAUAGACAUUAAUAAAAACUGGAGGGAGUGAUAGCACAGUGGGUAGGGUGUUUGCCUUGCACACGGCCGACCCGGGUUCCACUUCCAGCAUCCCACAUGGUCCCCUGAGCACUGCCAGGGGUGCUUCCUGAGUGCAGAGCCAGGAAUGACCCCUGUGCAUCACUGGGUGUGACCCAAAAAGCAAAAAAACUGGAGGGAUUGGAGACUUUAGGAGUUAGGAUCCUUUCUUAUCCUUCGGCUUUUUGGGUGACACCCAAAAAGGAAACUCCUGCUUCUGCACUCAGGAAUUACUCCUGGAAUUGCUCAGGGAACCAUACGGGAUGCUGGGGAUUGAACCUGCGUUGGUCAGCCAUGUGCAAGGAGCAACUCUUCCCAGCACAGCAACAUGUGUGCUCCAGCAUUGCCAGAUGUGACCCAAGACCUCCGGCCCCAAUAACAAAUACUAACCUUUUCAGACCUGAAGAGCAAUGUGACCAAUUUCUCUGCUGACAUCAGAAGGUGAUUAAUCCAGUGUAAAUCCAGUGUAAGGUAUGGGGAGGUGCAGUCUCCCCUUUGGGGUUGGGGGGCAUGCCUGGUAAUGUUCAGGGCUUACUCCUGUCUCUGAACUCAGGAAUUGCUCCUGAUGAGAUCAAGGGACAUGUGGGAUAUUCGGCAAUAAAACCUAGGUAAACUACUUGAAAGACAAGUGUCCUGUGCCU